This 1725-nucleotide unclassified non-coding RNA is filed under the name Hevea brasiliensis (rubber tree). Lineage: Eukaryota; Viridiplantae; Streptophyta; Magnoliopsida; Malpighiales; Euphorbiaceae. The record is from RNAcentral.
GUUACACAAUUGCUCUAUCUUUUCCUUCCUCUAUAUAUGUAUAUACACUGCCGAUCUGCACCCUUCACUUAAUCAAGGAAACAGGCAGCUCCAAGACCCUACUGAACGAGUGAAAAUGGUGAAUGAAGAAAUGGGCUACAAAGCUCAUGCUCUUAUCCUUCCCUAUCCUCUUCAGGGUCACAUAAACCCCAUGUUACAGUUCUCCAAGCGCUUGGUCUCCAAAGGAGUCAAAGCCACACUAGCAAAUACCAUUGCCAUCAACAAGUCCAUGCAUUCUGACCCAACUAGCCCUGUUGAUAUUGAAACAAUAUCUGAUGGCUUUGAUGAAGGUGGUUUUUCACAGGCCGAGAGCACAGAGGUUUACUUGUCAACUUUAGAAUCUGUAGGUGCACAAACCUUGGCAGAUUUAAUCAAGAAACUUAAAGAUUUGGGUCGCCCUGUAAAUGUACUUAUCUAUGAUGGUUUCUUGCCAUGGGCACUUGAUGUAGCCAAGCAAUUUGGACUGCUUGGAGUGGUGUUUUUCACUCAGCCUUGCACCGUCAAUAACAUAUAUUAUCAUGUCCAAAGGAGUAUUCUUCCCCUGCCACUAGCAGAGCCAACUGUUUCACUUCCUGGAUUGCCUCUGCUUCAAGCUUCGGAGACACCGUCUUUUGUUUCUGAUUCAGGAUCAUACCCUGGCUUCCACCAUCUGGUGGUGAACCAAUUCAGAAACAUUGAUGAAGCAGAUUGGGUACUCUAUAACAACUUUCACAAAUUGGAAGAAGAGGUACUUAAAUAUCUUUAAUCCUAUGAAUUUCCUAGUCGAUUAUUAAUAAGGAUUACUUUCUUUUUUUUUUUCUUAUGACUUCUAAACCAAUCAAUUUCAUAAUUUUGUGGGUGGUAUUGAUUAGGUGGUGGAUUGGAUGGCUAAACGGUGGCGAUUGCGGACGGUAGGGCCAACCCUUCCAUCUAUGUUCUUGGACAAGAGACUUGAAGAUGAUAAAGAUUAUGGCAUCAGUCUGUUUAAGCCAGACACUCAGACCUGCAUGAAAUGGCUCCAGGACAAGCCUAAAGGUUCAGUUGCGUAUGUCGCUUUUGGGAGCAUGGCAGAACUUGGAGCAGAACAAAUGGAGGAGAUUGCUUGGGGAUUGAAGGCAAGUAAUCGCUACUUCUUAUGGGUUGUUAGGGAAUCAGAGAAAGCAAAGUUGCCUAAAAAUUUCAUGGAGGAGACAUCGGACAAGUCUUUAGUGAUCUCAUGGUGCCCACAACUGGAAGUGCUAGCCCAUGAAGCAACAGGGUGCUUUAUAACACAUUGUGGGUUCAAUUCUGUUCUUGAAGCAUUGAGCUUGGGUGUUCCAAUAGUGGCAAUGCCUCAAUGGACAGACCAACCCACUAAUGCUAAGUUUGUGGAGGAUGUUUGGAAAAUUGGAAUUAGAACUUGGCCUGAUGAGAAAGGUAUUGUGAGAAGAGAAUCGGUGGAGCUCUGCAUUAGGCAAAUAAUGGAAGGGGAGAAGGGAAAAGAGAUCAGGGAGAAAGCAAACCGUUGGAGGAUUUUAGCUAAGGAGGCUAUUAGUGAAGGUGGAAGUUCAGAUUUAAACAUUGAUGAAUUUGUGGCCCAAUUGGGCAGCUCCUGAGUGUUUUGUAUCACUGAAUUAUCAUGACAUGAAUAAGUAAUUUGUCUUCAUUAUUUUAGUGAUAAAUAAUUUUCCCAUUAUAAUUAAUGGAGUUGAGUUGCAUGUUGGGGAG